AGUGAGGCAUUCUGAAAUUUUACUGAAGCUCUAAAACUUAACAGCUAUGGAAAUGGGAAAGAGCCGAGGUCAGAAUGAGAAACACAUCCCCACAGGAUUUCUGACCAUCAGUAACAUGAAUUAGCUGGUGUGCACUCUGCUCUGUAACCCUGGAAUCUCCUUUCUACUCGGAGGGAACCAGAUGUACAGCAUGAAGAAGUAUGCCCUUUGGAAAUGUAAAUGAAUACAGUUAAGAGGCUACACCGCCCUUUAAAGGAGUUCUUCUGAUCUCUUAGGAGCUUUACAUUUUGAAGAACAUGGAUGGAUGAGAAACUUGAUGUGGAUUAGAGAAGGACUCCUUCUGUCACCCAGGCUGAGGUGCAAUGGCCUGAUCACAGUUCACUGCAGCCUUGAAUUCUUAGACUCAAGCUACUCAUCCACCUCAGCCUCCCAAGUAGCUGGGACUACAGGCUCACACCACCUCACCUGGGUACUUUCUCUCUUUUAAAAAUUUUAUUUGUUAUCUUUUUCAAUUUUAAUGAAAAUUUUAUACAUAUAUAUGUAACCCAUCAGUUAAUAUACUUUGCUUGUAUAUGUUAUAUAAAAGGUCACUUCCUCUUGAAUUUGCAAAAUAGUUGUUUGCUUAGCACGAAUGCCAACAAUAUUUUUUUAAAUUUAAAGAUAGCCUACUCUCAUAUAGAGCAGAUUUUUUUAAUAUAUAAAAAUAAUUCCAAAUUUUAUUUUAUUUUCUGUUGCAAAGGCAAAUAAUC
RNAcentral lists this long non-coding RNA (749 nucleotides) under Homo sapiens (human). RNAcentral's name for it is "non-protein coding lnc-ARAP2-1:3". The record is from RNAcentral. Lineage: Eukaryota; Metazoa; Chordata; Mammalia; Primates; Hominidae.